This 417-nucleotide ribosomal RNA is filed under the name uncultured bacterium. Its description in RNAcentral is "bacterial SSU rRNA". It matches the Rfam family "Bacterial small subunit ribosomal RNA", at positions 362 to 776 of the family's 1533-position model. The record is from RNAcentral.
UAUUGGUCAAUGGACGCAAGUCUGAACCAGCCAUGCCGCGUGAAGGAUGAAGGCCCUCUGGGUUGUAAACUUCUUUUAUCUGGGACGAAACAAGGGAAUUCUUUCCCACUUGACGGUACCAGAGGAAUAAGCACCGGCUAACUCCGUGCCAGCAGCCGCGGUAAUACGGAGGGUGCAAGCGUUAUCCGGAUUUACUGGGUUUAAAGGGUGCGUAGGUGGAUUAGUAAGUCAGGGGUGAAAUCUUCAAGCUUAACUUGGAAACUGCCUUUGAUACUAUUAGUCUUGAAUAUCCUGGAGGUGAGCGGAAUAUGUCAUGUAGCGGUGAAAUGCUUAGAUAUGACAUAGAACACCAAUUGCGAAGGCAGCUCACUACGGGAUCAUUGACACUGAGGCACGAAAGCGUGGGGAUCAAACAGG